This 253-nucleotide ribosomal RNA is filed under the name uncultured bacterium. RNAcentral's name for it is "partial 16S ribosomal RNA". It matches the Rfam family "Bacterial small subunit ribosomal RNA", at positions 524 to 776 of the family's 1533-position model. The record is from RNAcentral.
UACGGAGGAUGCGAGCGUUAAUCGGAAUUACUGGGCGUAAAGCGCACGCAGGCGGUUUGUUAAGCUAGAUGUGAAAGCCCCGGGCUCAACCUGGGAUGGUCAUUUAGAACUGGCAGACUAGAGUCUUGGAGAGGGGAGUGGAAUUCCAGGUGUAGCGGUGAAAUGCGUAGAUAUCUGGAGGAACAUCAGUGGCGAAGGCGACUCCCUGGCCAAAGACUGACGCUCAUGUGCGAAAGUGUGGGUAGCGAACAGG